CGCUGAAAAACCCGUUCCUGUUCGAUUACUGAAGUUAAGCAACGCGGGGCGUGGUCAGUACCUAGAUGAGUGACCGCUUGGGAAUACCA
Molecule: non-coding RNA, 89 nt
Organism: Acanthosepion pharaonis
Lineage: Eukaryota; Metazoa; Mollusca; Cephalopoda; Sepiida; Sepiidae
Source: the annotation of a GenBank genome assembly